This 4223-nucleotide long non-coding RNA is filed under the name Heterocephalus glaber (naked mole-rat). RNAcentral describes it as "lncRNA (ENSHGLG00100046185.1)". The record is from RNAcentral. Lineage: Eukaryota; Metazoa; Chordata; Mammalia; Rodentia; Bathyergidae.
GUCACCCUGGGGCUCCAGGGUGAGGCUGCCAGCUCCUGGUCGCUGUGCGGGAGCAGGACGGUGGGCUUGGUCUGGGGAAGCGAGGCCUCGGCCCAGAAACACUGGGUCUCACUGCCUCACGCCGUGCCAAGCUCUGGGGUCCUGUGACAACUGAACCAUCAGCUCUUCGUGAGGUUUCACUGGCCCAGCUUCAUCUGCAUUUCGACCUUGACGUCUGAUUUGAGCUCCAUUUAUACCAGAGAUGUAAACCAUCCAUCAAAAACUUGGCCUAAGGCAUUCUGAUCUCUCAGGUGUUGUCCGACAAGUGACGGCAGGCUCUGUCACGGGUGGCGCCCGAACAGGGACCUGAAUACGGGGGACCAUAGUGAAGGACACUGCGGAUCGUGAGCUCGGAUAAAUUAAGGGCAGUGAAUGCACUCGGGAGUAGCAAGAUGGGUAUUGGUAACAGCCAGCUGCUUUUUGUACAUAUGCUUAAAAAAAUGCUUCGGUCUCGUGGAGCAAAGGUAGGGCAUCAAUAAUUAUGUAAUUUUUAGAAUUCGUAGAGAAAGUUUGUCCUUGGUUCUCUAAAGAAGGCACAGUAGAUUUAGAAGUAUGGAAUAAGGUGGGGAAGCAACUUCAGGACUAUUACGAUGGUCAUGGACCCACUAAAAUCCCUAUAGAUGCUUUUAGUUUAUGGGCUUUAAUUAGAGAUAGUUUGGAUCCUUGGCAUGAGGGAGAGAGGGUUGAAGGACCCUCCUCAAGUCCUUCCUCGGAGGAGCCUGACAAGGCUGGUGUUCCCAAGGUUGUCCCUCCGCCUCCUAUAGAAGACUCAGGGUGAGGGAGGAAUAGUUCCUAGUAUAAUUGCUGGUCUUGAUCCCCCGCCGGUUGCAGGUCCAAGAUUAAUGAAAAAAACUGACCUUCUUAUAGCCAUGAUUAAACAUCCCCCAGGACCCAGGCCUUUGUCUGUCAAUUCUCGGUGUCUGUCGCCAUUACAAGCUACCCUGCAACAUGCGGUUGACAGAGGGGAAGAUACCCAGGGCUUUCGUUUAGCUUGUCCAGUAUUUGAGGAAGCUGAUGCUCAAGGGAAUAUGGUCAGAAUCCAUCGACCGAUAUCUUUUAAGCAACUUAAAGUGUUAAAAAUGGCAUGUGCGCAAUAUGGCCCUACCGCACCUUUUACUCAGGCUAUGUUAGAAUCGUUGAGCAUGGAGGUGCUGCCUCCCAGAGAUUGGAAACAGCUCGCUAAGGCAUGCCUGUCUAGGGGAGAUUACCUCCUUUGGAAAACAGAAUUUUCCGAGCAGUGUCAAAGAACAGCUGAAUUAAAUCGGGCUAAUAGAAAUGAUACUGAUUAUGACAUGCUGGCAGGAGAAGGGCAAUAUGCGGACCUCGCCAAUCAAUUACUUUGCUCAGAUACAACGGUGCAUACAUGCCCGGACCUGUCCUUGUUAUGUGGGUCACAUUAGGGCUCAUUCUGGGCUUCCCGGACCCCUGGCAAAGGGAAAUUGUGGAUGCUUAUGGAUUGACUGCAGCAGAACAGCUGUGGCAUCCUAAAACUAAAUCAUCACAUGCUCAAGUGAGGUGGAAAGAUCCCCUCACGGGUGUAUGGAGUGGGCCCGACCCGGUAUUAAUAUGGGGACGAGGGCAUGUUUGUGUUUUCCCGCAGGAUGCUGAAGGUGCCAGGUGGCUGCCUGAAAGAUUGGUCCGUUUUGCAGGAAAUUUUCCUGCCCCUUGGGAUGAUCCCGACAACUGUCCUGCUGAUAAAUCUAAUGGUGACGCUUAAUGAGAAGGUUUAUUGGACUUAUGUACCUGAUCCACCUGUUGUACAUCCAACGAGCUGAAAAAAUGGACAAGUAAUGGUAUGGGUGAACAAUACCAGGCUGUUGCAUGAGCCGGCGGCCCCUGACAAGAACAAGUUCCGAUUGUUCAACUAUACGGGAUCAGAAACUGGAACCCCCAUAUGUUUCUUCAAAAUCAACAGAACUGAUUGUAUAAGACUGAGCGCUUGCACCCUGACAGGAAGGCAGGUAGAUCAGUGCAAAGGCGGGAUCACUGGAGUCCAUCUACAUCUACCUGUGGGUAUGGAGACCACUGGUGUAGUGCCUCAGACUUUUAAUGCUCCAAUAAGACUAUUCCAUGGAAGAGAUGUGUGGCGGAUGCCUCCGUGAGAUAUAAUAUUACUGGACUUGAUACUUAUGUUUUGGACUGGUCUGAAAAUUCUUGUCAUCCCAAAAGAAAUGUCAUUGCAUGUGUCAUGUGCUCUUAUGUAUUGCUUGUAAGAAAUAUUAGUGUUCAGAAAAGUUAUGAUUAUUAUAGUGAAAUUUACUUCAAUUGUCAAAUAAGCAAUUGUGUCACCCGAACAGAAAAUCAGAUAAUGGUUUUGCGAAUGCGUUUUUAGAUUUGGAUCUUAUAGAUCUCCAAAAUGCAGAACCCCUAAAAUUUGAUGCAGCCCAGGCUGCACAGGAUUUUAUCGAACAAAUUAGAAAAGUUCUGCCAUCUACAUCUGCAUUUACGUGGUAACUCAUUUCCAUAGUAAUUAUUGGAGGAGGGCUGCCUCUUAGAUGCAUGAUCCUUCCGGUGCUACUGCAGAUGUUUGUGCAUUCUUUAAUGAGGAUGGCUGGAAGUAUUCAUGGUCUAUAAUUACAUGCUACAUCGCCUAAACCCAUGGUGUAAUUCCCUGCAGAGGCUGAUAGUCAAUGACGGUUAAGAGGAGUAUAGGAAAUCACCAACCUAAGACAAAGCAAGAACACUGUGAUGCUCUUGACUCCAUGACAGGUAAGGGAUUUCUUUAUAUUCCUCGCCUAAGACAGGCACAGUCUAUCUGCGUGAUCAAGGGACCUUGAUCAUAAUAUAUAAAACAGGGGGGAGAUGUGGAGAGCAGUGUGUGGAGAGCGGUGUUAGCCAAAGAGGCUCCAUUUUGAAUCUUACCCUCCAUUGUAUAGAGCAAGGAGACUAUGUUAUGAGGAACCACGUUCUUGCCAAAUUAGAUUGCCCUGGAACGUGAUGAACGUUCUGUAACCCUGAGAAACAAGGAAGCCCAUGAGGGUGGGGAAUUCCCAAAGAACUAGCAAACAAGGAAGCAGGUGUCUCUGGAUAAGGGUCAUGAUUAACAACCAAACUCACCUGCUGUAUAAAAGAGAGGAGAAAAAUAAACUUGGGCGCUCGGUCUCUGGGAGCCCUCCUGACUCUAUCUCUUUGUCUUUCUUUUUCUUCAUCCUCACUCCCCCAUUCAGGUACUGUUCGACAAGUGACAGCGGGCUCUAUCACCUAUGCCAAUGUCUUCAAGAGUUCUACCUAACUUAUCUUCCAGCAAGUUUAGUGUUUCUGUCUUAAUAUUUACAUCUUUAAUCCACUUUGAUCUUACUUUAGUGCAUGGUGAUAGGUAUGGGUCUAGUUUUAAUCUCUGGCAGGUUGAAAUUCAGUUUUUCCAACAUCAUUUAUUAAAUAGGCUAUCUUUCCUCCAGUGAGGGUGGUUGGCUCCUUUGUCAAAGAUGAGGUGGCUGAGUAUGUCUGGAGUUGUUUCUGCAUCUUCUAAUCUAUUCCACUGAUCCUCAGGUCUGUUUCUUUGCCAGUACCAUGCUGUAUUUAUCACAGUAGCUUUGUAGUAUAGCUUCAAGUUGGGUAUUGUGAUACCCCCAGCCAUGUCUCUGUUGCCCAGAAUUGCUUUUGCUAUUUUAGGUCUCUUCUGGUUCCAAAUGAAUUUUUGGAUUGUUUUCUCUAGUUUUGUGAAGUAUAUUGUUGAAAUUUCAAUCAGCAUUGCAUUCAAUCUAUAUAGUAGUUUUGGAAGUAUGGCCAUUUUCACUGUGUUGGUUCUUCCUACCCAGGAACAAGGGAUGUCUUUCCAUUUUCUUAUAUCCUCCUCGAUCUCCUUUUUCAGGGUGCUGUAGUUUUCAAAGGUCUUUUGCUUCCUUUGUUAGAUUGAUUCCUAGAUAUUUCAUUAUUUUGGAUGCUAUUAUAAAAGGAAUUGUUUCCCUAAUUUCUCUCUCAGUGAGUCUGCUAUUUGUGUAUAAGAAGGCUUUUAUUAAAUUCUUUUAUUGGUACAUUGUAGGUAUACAACACAAUUACAUUUCUCUUUGGGAAUUGUACCUUUACAUAAUGCAUCUUGGUUCUUAUUUUUUCCCCAUUCCUAGCCCUCCCUUCAUGCCCUCCACCCUUCCCUAUUUACAAAGACUUUAUUUCCAUUUUUUCCAUUUCUCAUCAUUUUUCCUUUCCCUUCUUUCCUUUCCCCUGCCCCUCCCACUACCCCUACC